CUCGGCCGAUCCUCCCACCCUUUGUGUACCUACCUCUGUUGCUUUGGCGGGCCGCGGUUCUCCGCGGCCGCCCCCCUCCCCGGGGGGGUGGCCAGCGCCCGCCAGAGGACCAUCAAACUCCAGUCAGUAAACGAUGCAGUCUGAAAAACAUUUAAUAAACUAAAACUUUCAACAACGGAUCUCUUGGUUCUGGCAUCGAUGAAGAACGCAGCGAAAUGCGAUAAGUAAUGUGAAUUGCAGAAUUCAGUGAAUCAUCGAAUCUUUGAACGCACAUUGCGCCCUUUGGUAUUCCGAAGGGCAUGCCUGUUCGAGCGUCAUUACAACCCUCAAGCUCUGCUUGGUAUUGGGCACCGUCCUUUGCGGGCGCGCCUCAAAGACCUCGGCGGUGGCGUCUUGCCUCAAGCGUAGUAGAACAUACAUCUCGCUUCGGAGCGCAGGGCGUCGCCCGCCGGACGAACCUUCUGAACUUUUCUCAAGGUUGACCUCGGAUCAGGUAGGGAUACCCGCUGAACUUAAGCAUAUCAUAA
RNAcentral lists this ribosomal RNA (527 nucleotides) under Botryosphaeria dothidea. RNAcentral's name for it is "eukaryotic LSU rRNA". The stretch from base 164 to 317 matches the Rfam family "5.8S ribosomal RNA". The record is from RNAcentral. Lineage: Eukaryota; Fungi; Ascomycota; Dothideomycetes; Botryosphaeriales; Botryosphaeriaceae.